This 423-nucleotide ribosomal RNA is filed under the name uncultured organism. RNAcentral describes it as "bacterial SSU rRNA". It matches the Rfam family "Bacterial small subunit ribosomal RNA", at positions 355 to 775 of the family's 1533-position model. The record is from RNAcentral.
UGAGGAAUAUUGCGCAAUGGAGGCAACUCUGACGCAGCCAUGCCGCGUGCAGGAAGAAGGCGCUACGCGUUGUAAACUGCUUUUAACCGGGAAGAAACCCCUCCACGUGUGGAGGGUUGACGGUACCGGUGGAAUAAGCACCGGCUAACUUCGUGCCAGCCGCCGCGGUAAUACGAAGGGUGCAAGCGUUAUCCGGAUUCAUUGGGUUUAAAGGGUGCGUAGGCGGAACAAUAAGUCAGCGGUGAAAGCCCGUAGCUUAACUACGGAAUGGCCGUUGAUACGGUUGUUCUUGAGUACGUUUGACGUGGGCGGAAUGUGCCGUGUAGCGGUGAAAUGCUUAGAUAUGGCACAGAACACCGAUAGUGAAGACAGCUCACGAAGACGAAACUGACGCUGAGGCACGAAAGCGUGGGGAUCGAACAG